RNAcentral lists this ribosomal RNA (420 nucleotides) under bacterium. RNAcentral describes it as "partial 16S ribosomal RNA". It matches the Rfam family "Bacterial small subunit ribosomal RNA", at positions 355 to 776 of the family's 1533-position model. The record is from RNAcentral.
UGGGGUAUAUUGCACAAUGGGCGAAAGCCUGAUGCAGCGACGCCGCGUGGGGGAUGAAGGCUUUCGGGUUGUAAACCUCUUUCGCUAUCGAACAAGGCCCGCUUAGGGUGGGUUGAGGGUAGGUGGAGAAGAAGCGCCGGCUAACUACGUGCCAGCAGCCCCGGUAAUACGUAUGGCGCGAGCGUUUCCCGGAAUUAUUGGGCGUAAAGGGCUUGUAGGCGGCUUGUUGCGCCUGCUGUGAAAACGCGGGGCUUAACUGCGCGCGUGCAGUGGGUACGGGCAGGCUUGAGUGUAGUAGGGGUGACUGGAAUUCCAGGUGUAGCGGUGGAAUGCGAAGAUAUCUGGAGGAACACCGAUGGCGAAGGCAGGUCACUGGGCCAUUACUGACGCUGAGGAGCGAAAGCAUGGGUAGCGAACAGG